GACGUAGGGGGCGAGCGUUAUCCGGAUUCACUGGGCGUAAAGGGCGCGCAGGCGGCUACGUAAGUCCGGCGUGAAAUCCCACGGCUCAACUGUGGAACUGCGUCGGAUACUGCGUUGGCUUGAGGAUGGUAGAGGCCUUUAGAACUAGCGGUGUAGCGGUGAAAUGCGCAGAUAUCGCUAGGAAUGCCGGUGGCGAAGGCGGAAGGCUGGGCCAUUCCUGACGCUGAGGCGCGAAAGCUAGGGGAGCGAACCGG
This 254-nucleotide ribosomal RNA is filed under the name uncultured bacterium. RNAcentral's name for it is "partial 16S ribosomal RNA". It matches the Rfam family "Bacterial small subunit ribosomal RNA", at positions 524 to 776 of the family's 1533-position model. The record is from RNAcentral.